UACGAAGGGGGCUAGCGUUGUUCGGAAUCACUGGGCGUAAAGCGCACGUAGGCGGACUUUCAAGUCAGGGGUGAAAUCCCGGGGCUCAACCUCGGAACUGCCUUUGAUACUGUUGGUCUUGAGUCCGGAAGAGGUGGGUGGAAUUCCUAGUGUAGAGGUGAAAUUCGUAGAUAUUAGGAAGAACACCGGUGGCGAAGGCGGCCCACUGGUCCGGUACUGACGCUGAGGUGCGAAAGCGUGGGGAGCAAACAGG
RNAcentral lists this ribosomal RNA (253 nucleotides) under uncultured bacterium. RNAcentral describes it as "partial 16S ribosomal RNA". It matches the Rfam family "Bacterial small subunit ribosomal RNA", at positions 524 to 776 of the family's 1533-position model. The record is from RNAcentral. RNAcentral also lists the same sequence under 2 other names.